Non-coding RNA from Ictidomys tridecemlineatus (thirteen-lined ground squirrel), 678 nucleotides. The record is from RefSeq and is a predicted model, not a curated record. Lineage: Eukaryota; Metazoa; Chordata; Mammalia; Rodentia; Sciuridae.
UCUCUCUCUUUCAUGCUUUCUGACUCAUUUCUGACUCUUUCAUCUCAUCCUCCAGGGUACCUCUGUGUGGUCCUUCUCUUCAGCUGGAUAGCCUGGAUUUCCGUACAGAAUGUCAGCUGGGUGCCCAGAAAGCAAAGGGAGAAGCCACUGGACAAGAUCUUAACCUAGAACUGGCCCUGGAGACAGGUCCUCUGGGAGGUAAUUGAGGCUGGAUUAGGCCAUGAGGGUAGAGCCUCAUGAGGUUUUAAGAAGAAGAGAGAUCUCUCUCUCUCACCACUACAUGAGGACACAGUGAGGAGGUGGCAGUCAGCAAGCUGGGCAGGGAGCCUCAGUGGGAACCCAGUUUGGCUGGCGUCUUGAUCUUGGACUUCCCGGGCUCCAGAGAACUACGGAAAAUGGCCAGGUAUCCAGAUCACUAGAGGCAGCCUCUAUACCACUGAAAUGAUGCAAACUGAGCAAUCCUAAAUCUGCUUACUCUGUCUGGCCUGUUCCUCUGGCAGAAGCCACCAUAAGGGGUCUUGCCCAUGAUUUCUUCCUGCACCUUCUGCCUGCUCCUCAGCCCUGGUGACUUUUAUGGUGUGCCAUGUCCCCUCUACUUGGGGAUGUAAGUAACAGACUAUCUCUUCAAUGGAAGUCAUCUUCUGACCUGUAAGCCUCACUGUACCUAAAUAAUAAUAA